RNAcentral lists this ribosomal RNA (253 nucleotides) under uncultured bacterium. RNAcentral's name for it is "partial 16S ribosomal RNA". It matches the Rfam family "Bacterial small subunit ribosomal RNA", at positions 524 to 776 of the family's 1533-position model. The record is from RNAcentral.
UACAGAGGGUGCGAGCGUUGUCCGGAAUCACUGGGCGUAAAGGGCGCGUAGGUGGCGCUCCAAGUCCGUGGUGAAAGCUCGAUGCUCAACAUCGAGUCGGCCACGGAGACUGGAGGGCUCGAGCACUGUAGGGGCAGAUGGAAUUCCGGGUGUAGCGGUGGAAUGCGUAGAGAUCCGGAGGAACACCAGUGGCGAAGGCGGCUGCCUGGGCCUGGCCUGACGCUGAGGCGCGAAAGCGUGGGGAGCAAUCCGG